UGGCUAUAUCAGAUAGAAACACAGUUUCUUGUAUGAUCACCAAAGUUAUACACCAUUGUGCCUGGUUAGUAUCUUGAUGGGUAACCACUUGGGAAUACCAGGUGCUGUA
Molecule: non-coding RNA, 109 nt
Organism: Acanthosepion pharaonis
Lineage: Eukaryota; Metazoa; Mollusca; Cephalopoda; Sepiida; Sepiidae
Source: the annotation of a GenBank genome assembly